AUUGAACGCUGGCGGCAUGCCUUACACAUGCAAGUCGAACGGUAACGGGUCCUUCGGGAUGCCGACGAGUGGCGAACGGGUGAGUAAUAUAUCGGAACGUGCCCAGUAGUGGGGGAUAACUGCUCGAAAGAGCAGCUAAUACCGCAUACGACCUGAGGGUGAAAGGGGGGGAUCGCAAGACCUCUCGCUAUUUGAGCGGCCGAUAUCAGAUUAGCUAGUUGGUGGGGUAAAGGCCUACCAGGGCAACGAUCUGUAGUUGGUCUGAGAGGACGACCAGCCACACUGGGACUGAGACACGGCCCAGACUCCUACGGGAGGCAGCAGUGGGGAAUUUUGGACAAUGGGCGCAAGCCUGAUCCAGCAAUGCCGCGUGCAGGAAGAAGGCCUUCGGGUUGUAAACUGCUUUUGUCAGGGAAGAAAUCUUCUGGGCUAAUACCCCGGGAGGAUGACGGUACCUGAAGAAUAAGCACCGGCUAACUACGUGCCAGCAGCCGCCGUAA
This 500-nucleotide ribosomal RNA is filed under the name uncultured bacterium. RNAcentral's name for it is "partial 16S ribosomal RNA". It matches the Rfam family "Bacterial small subunit ribosomal RNA", at positions 30 to 523 of the family's 1533-position model. The record is from RNAcentral.